Molecule: transfer RNA, 78 nt
Filed under: Candidatus Uhrbacteria bacterium
Lineage: Bacteria; Candidatus Uhriibacteriota
Description: tRNA-Asp
Rfam family: tRNA
About the family: Transfer RNA (tRNA) molecules are approximately 80 nucleotides in length. Their secondary structure includes four short double-helical elements and three loops (D, anti-codon, and T loops).
Source: RNAcentral
GGAUCGGUGGUGUAGCCCGGUUAACACGUCUCCCUGUCACGGAGAAGAUCGCGGGUUCGAAUCCCGUCCGAUCCGCCA